UACAGAGGUCCCAAGCGUUGUUCGGAUUCAUUGGGCGUAAAGGGUGUGUAGGCGGCGCCGUAAGUCAGGUGUGAAAUCUCGGGGCUUAACUCCGAAACUGCAUUUGAUACUGCGGUGCUUGAGGACUGGAGAGGAGACUGGAAUUUACGGUGUAGCGGUGAAAUGCGUAGAUAUCGUAAGGAAGACCAGUGGCGAAGGCGGGUCUCUGGACAGUUCCUGACGCUGAGGCACGAAGGCCAGGGGAGCAAACGGG
Molecule: ribosomal RNA, 253 nt
Filed under: uncultured bacterium
Lineage: Bacteria
Description: partial 16S ribosomal RNA
Rfam family: Bacterial small subunit ribosomal RNA
Source: RNAcentral